GACGAACGCUGGCGGCGUGCUUAACACAUGCCAGUCGAACGGAAAGGCCUCUUUCGGGGGGUACUCGCGUGGCGAACGGGUGAGUAACACGUGAGUAACCUGCCCUUGACUUUGGGAUAACUUCAGGCAACUGGGGCUAAUACCGGAUAGGAGCUCCUGCUGCCUGGUGGGGGCUGUAGAGUUUCGGCGGUUGGGGAUGGACUUGCGGCUUAUCAGCUUGUUGGUGGGGUAGUGGCUUACCACGGCGUUGACGGGUAGCCGGCCUGAGAGGGUGACCGGCCACAGUGGGACUGAGAGAAGGCCCAGACACCUACGGGAGGGAGCAGGGGGGAAUAUUGCACAAUGGGUGGAAGCCGGAUGCAGCAACGCCGGGUGCGGGAUGACGGCCUUCGGGUUGUAAACCGCUUUCGCUCAUGACGAAGCUUUGUGUGACGGUAGUGGGUAAAGAAGCACCGGCUAACUACGUG
Molecule: ribosomal RNA, 467 nt
Filed under: uncultured bacterium
Lineage: Bacteria
Description: partial 16S ribosomal RNA
Rfam family: Bacterial small subunit ribosomal RNA
Source: RNAcentral